This 474-nucleotide ribosomal RNA is filed under the name Roseateles sp. RNAcentral's name for it is "bacterial SSU rRNA". It matches the Rfam family "Bacterial small subunit ribosomal RNA", at positions 391 to 858 of the family's 1533-position model. Lineage: Bacteria; Pseudomonadati; Pseudomonadota; Betaproteobacteria; Burkholderiales; Sphaerotilaceae. The record is from RNAcentral.
GCCAUGCCGCGUGCGGGAAGAAGGCCUUCGGGUUGUAAACCGCUUUUGUCAGGGAAGAAAAGGUUCUGGUUAAUACCUGGGACUCAUGACGGUACCUGAAGAAUAAGCACCGGCUAACUACGUGCCAGCAGCCGCGGUAAUACGUAGGGUGCAAGCGUUAAUCGGAAUUACUGGGCGUAAAGCGUGCGCAGGCGGUUAUGCAAGACAGAUGUGAAAUCCCCGGGCUCAACCUGGGAACUGCAUUUGUGACUGCAUAGCUAGAGUACGGUAGAGGGGGAUGGAAUUCCGCGUGUAGCAGUGAAAUGCGUAGAUAUGCGGAGGAACACCGAUGGCGAAGGCAAUCCCCUGGACCUGUACUGACGCUCAUGCACGAAAGCGUGGGGAGCAAACAGGAUUAGAUACCCUGGUAGUCCACGCCCUAAACGAUGUCAACUGGUUGUUGGGAGGGUUUCUUCUCAGUAACGUAGCUAACGC